This 541-nucleotide ribosomal RNA is filed under the name uncultured bacterium. Its description in RNAcentral is "partial 16S ribosomal RNA". It matches the Rfam family "Bacterial small subunit ribosomal RNA", at positions 355 to 889 of the family's 1533-position model. The record is from RNAcentral.
UGGGGAAUUUUGGACAAUGGGGGAAACCCUGAUCCAGCCAUCCCGCGUGUGCGAUGAAGGCCUUCGGGUUGUAAAGCACUUUUGGCAGGAAAGAAACGUCGCGGGUUAAUACCCCGCGAAACUGACGGUACCUGCAGAAUAAGCACCGGCUAACUACGUGCCAGCAGCCGCGGUAAUACGUAGGGUGCAAGCGUUAAUCGGAAUUACUGGGCGUAAAGCGUGCGCAGGCGGUUCGGAAAGAAAGAUGUGAAAUCCCAGAGCUUAACUUUGGAACUGCAUUUUUAACUACCGGGCUAGAGUGUGUCAGAGGGAGGUGGAAUUCCGCGUGUAGCAGUGAAAUGCGUAGAUAUGCGGAGGAACACCGAUGGCGAAGGCAGCCUCCUGGGAUAACACUGACGCUCAUGCACGAAAGCGUGGGGAGCAAACAGGAUUAGAUACCCUGGUAGUCCACGCCCUAAACGAUGUCAACUAGCUGUUGGGGCCUUCGGGCCUUGGUAGCGCAGCUAACGCGUGAAGUUGACCGCCUGGGGAGUACGGUCGC